CUUUUGGUCAGAGUGUUUGAACUCAGUAA
RNAcentral lists this non-coding RNA (29 nucleotides) under Mus musculus (house mouse). The record is from RNAcentral. Lineage: Eukaryota; Metazoa; Chordata; Mammalia; Rodentia; Muridae.